CACGUAGGGGGCAAGCGUUGUUCGGAUUUAUUGGGCGUAAAGAGCUCGUAGGCGGCUUAGUAAGUCGGGUGUGAAACCUCCAGGCUCAACCUGGAGACGCCACCCGAUACUGCUGUGGCUAGAGUCCGGUAGGGGAGCGUGGAAUUCCUGGUGUAGCGGUGAAAUGCGCAGAUAUCAGGAGGAACACCAGCGGCGAAGGCGGCGCUCUGGGCCGGUACUGACGCUGAGGAGCGAAAGCGUGGGGAGCAAACAGG
RNAcentral lists this ribosomal RNA (254 nucleotides) under uncultured bacterium. RNAcentral describes it as "partial 16S ribosomal RNA". It matches the Rfam family "Bacterial small subunit ribosomal RNA", at positions 524 to 776 of the family's 1533-position model. The record is from RNAcentral.